CUGGUGUUGGAGGAUGUGGUCUGAUGGUGUUGGUGGUGUUGUUGGAGGAUGUGGUCUGAUUGUGUUGGAGGAUGUGGUCUGAUGGUGUUGAAGGAUGUGGUCUGAUGGUGUUGGUGGUGUUGUUGGAGGAUGUGGUGAUGGUGGUGUUGUUGGAGGAUGUGGUCUGAUGGUGUUGGUGGAUGUGGUCUGAUGGUGUUGGUGUUGGAGGAUGUGGUGAUGGUGUUGGUGUUGUUGGAGGAUGUGGUGGUGUUGGUGGUGGUGUUGGAGGAUGUGGUGGUGUUGGUGGUGGUGUUGGAGGAUGUGGUCUGAUGGUGUUGGAGGAGGAUGUGGUCUGAUGGUGUUGGUGUUGUUGGAGGAUGUGGUCUGAUGGUGUUGGUGUUGUUGGAGGAUGUGGUCUGAUGGUGGUGGUGGUGUUGUUGGAGGAUGUGGUCUGAUGGUGUUGGUGGUGGAUGUGGUCUGAUGGUGUUGGUGGUGUUGUUGGAGGAUGUGGUCUGAUGGUGUUGGUGGUGUUGGAGGAUGUGGUGUUGGUGGUGUUGUUGGAGGAUGUGGUGUUGGUGUUGGAGAUGGGGUCUGAUGGUGUUGGUGGUGUUGGAGGAUGUGGUCUGAUGGUGUUGCUGGUGUUGUCAUGUUUGUGUUCCAG
Molecule: long non-coding RNA, 640 nt
Organism: Oncorhynchus tshawytscha (Chinook salmon)
Lineage: Eukaryota; Metazoa; Chordata; Actinopteri; Salmoniformes; Salmonidae
Source: Ensembl